Non-coding RNA from Bemisia tabaci, 1029 nucleotides. The record is from RefSeq and is a predicted model, not a curated record. Lineage: Eukaryota; Metazoa; Arthropoda; Insecta; Hemiptera; Aleyrodidae.
UUUAUUUCAUGCUUAUUUCAACCAACGCGCUGUUUUAAUUAAUUUUAGAUACUAAUUUAGAUAACUCUCAACCGCCAUGUUUGUCAUAAUUUUGAUCGAAAAUUGACGGAAAUUUGAGCGUGUAUCCAGGCCUUAAGCAAAACAAUCAAUCCUCGGCAAGGCAGUUUGCGUCUUCUAAUAUCGAUAUUUUUAAUGGAUUUAAACGGACCAAAACAGUGUUGCCAACUUAAAUAAACACCACUGCCCUAAUUCAUCGAGUCAAGAAUUCUCGGCCCGUUCCCGGUGGCGGGAGGCGGGAGCGCUCCCUCACAGAUCUGUAGCCAAAGCUCCGGGUGAAUGGAGGCGGAAAUCACAGCCUCGCAAAUUGGACCGGCCCAAGAGAAUGCGUGACGCGACGAAGGGGAGAUACAGGGAGAAGGGAGAGGGAGAGAGAGAAUGGAGAGAACACAGUGGAACCGAGGGAGUAACUGCUAAACUCGGAAGGAACAAAUAUUUAGCGGGGCAAGCAGAGAGGUGCUAAGUUAAUCUUAUACCUGAGGAUAUAUUGAUUAAUACAGCGACUCAGGUCGAAAUAUAUUUUUAUGCCCGAGCAUCAGGGGGCGCGAGGGGGGGUAGUGGUGUGGGAGGGGGAGGAGGGGGGGUUGAGCCGCGCGUGCGCGCGCCAGGGUGCCAACGGCGCCCGCAGUUUCCCUCGUUAGUAGUUGGUGCGAUGUUCGACGUUCAACAGGUGAAGCCGAGUGAGGUGCAUACUAUUAGCGUCCUCCCUCUGCCCAGGAUUUUUUAACAACAAGACGAUACACUUGGGACCGGCUUAAAAUCUCACCCCUGUCAUAAAAAAAGCUCGGCGACUCGGGAUCAACUGUUGCCAUCGUCGAGUUUACAAGAGGACGAGAGCGCGGGCUAGAGUCCAGUGCGGGAACCGGUUUUGGUUUUGGUGACGAACGGCAAUGACUCGGUGUUGGGAUCGGCGUUUGGUGUGGGGCCGUUGAAGCGGGGGCUUGCUCGGUUCUCUGGGGGUCGGGGUCGGGG